AGCAGCCGCGGUAAUUCCAGCUCCAAUAGCGUAUAUUAAAGUUGUUGCAGUUAAAAAGCUCGUAGUUGAAUUUCGGGAUUAGUACGCUGGUCGUGCCUUCGGUAUGUACUGGUGUUACUGAUUCCUACCUUCUGAAGAACCGUCAUGUCAUUAAUUUGGUGUGGCGGGGAAUCAGGACUGUUACUUUGAAAAAAUUAGAGUGUUUAAAGCAGGCUCGCGCUUGAAUACAUUAGCAUGGAAUAAUGAAAUAGGACGUUCGAUCCUAUUUUGUUGGUUUCUAGGAUUGACGUAAUGAUUAAUAGGGAUAGUUGGGGGCAUUAGUAUUCAAUUGUCAGAGGUGAAAUUCUUGGAUUUAUUGAAGACUAACUACUGCGAAAGCAUUUGCCAAGGAUGUUUUCAUUAAUCAAGAACGAAAGUUAGGGGAUCGAAGACGAUCAGAUACCGUCGUAGUCUUAACCAUAAACUAUGCCGACUAGGGAUCGGAUGAUGUAAUUUUUAAUGA
RNAcentral lists this ribosomal RNA (502 nucleotides) under uncultured Glomus. Its description in RNAcentral is "SSU rRNA". It matches the Rfam family "Eukaryotic small subunit ribosomal RNA", at positions 569 to 1075 of the family's 1831-position model. Lineage: Eukaryota; Fungi; Glomeromycota; Glomeromycetes; Glomerales; Glomeraceae. The record is from RNAcentral.